GGGGACGCGUGCAUUAAAUAACCACCUGCCACCUGCCAGUGCACCAAGUUCUAAUGGACUGCCGCCUGCCAGCGCACCAAAUUCUAAUGGACUGCCGCCUGCCAGCGCACCAAGUUCUAAUGGACUGCCGCCUGCCAGUGCACCAAGUUCUAAUGGACUGCCGCCUGCCAGUGCACCAAGUUCUAAUGGACUGCCGCCUGCCAGUGCACCAAGUUCUAAUGGACUGCCGCCUGCCAGUGCACCAAGUUCUAAUGGACUGCCGCCUGCCAGUGCACCAAGUUCUAAUGGACUGCCGCCUGCCAGUGCACCAAGUUCUAGUGGACCUUUUAAACAGAAGGCUGAAAUAUGUAGCCCACUUACAUGCUCCACAGUUGUUGCCAAUAAUAGUCAGGUCUUGUCAUUGCCUGCCGAAGCAGGAAAGAAAGCUAUUCAUAGCAAAGAAAGUGGCAUUAGUCAAGAGAAACGUAAAAUAGACAUGUUAGAACCUGUUAAACAGUCUGUAGGAGCAGAUGAUGCAGCCUAUAGUUCUGAAAAAACCGAUAUAGCCAUACGUCCUGCUUCUUCAUUUAUGAACAGUCAGUUUGAUAUCACCCCGUCUUUGAAGGACACAGAUAUACAUUUGAUCACAUCAUCCAGUGCUACAAAUACCUUUGAUCUUCCUUUGAUGUCCAAUGUACCUAGUUUACCAAAAGAUCCCUAUGAUGCCACAGAUGUUGAGGAGAAUGUAUGCUCAGAUUUUUCAUCAUUUAGCAUUGAUAAACAACAAAAGUCACAUGCUACCUAUGAGAAAUCAAGGGAGCUGUCGCCUUCUCAGACGAAUGGGAAAUCUGUGAUUUCUGCAGAUGAUGUUAUUAUCUCAAGACAAACGUCUGAUUUGAGACUGGAAACACAGGAUCAAGGAAUACAAGACACAGCUCCUGAAAUGGAGGAUGAUUUGCUAUCUUUCAAUGCACAGAGACAUAGGGACCCUGAAGUAAUUUUAGAGAAAAGCCACUCAUCAAGUCCUUCCAUCUCUUUACACUCUUCAGGGCAGCUUAAGGGUUAUUCUUCGCAGUUUGCCAAUGGGGUUGGACCUAUUAGAGCCAACAUGCAAACUUUUGAUCAGAGAGUUGAUUCAGUAUUACAGCCUUCUAGUAUUGGAGAACUUCGUAAUGGAUACCCUGAAAAUCCAUUCAGUUGUGCGGGUAAAUAUUUGGGAAGCACUGAUGACACUUAUUAUUUGUCUAAUGAAAGUAAGAGGAUGCACUUGAAUAGGUUUGAAGGUGAAACUGCUACUGCAGAUCAUAGUACUAAUGCAGAUAGGGGAGAGAACAAUAUAAUAUCUAAUAUUUUGUCUAUGGAUUUCGACCCAUGGAAUGAGUCAUUAGCCUCUCAGAACUUGGUUAAGUUGUUGGGAGAAACUGAUAACCAACAAGGGUCUAGAGUAUCAAACUCAAGAAAAGUACAGAGCAGCAAUCAGUCAAGGUUCUCUUUUGCAAGGGAGGAAGAACCCAUGAAUGCAUCUACUGAUUCUCGUCCAUCUUUAAGUUACAUUGACAGAAGUUAUAGUCAUCGCCCUCUUGAUCAAGAUUUUCAAAAUAGCAGAAGUUAUCAGCUUGAUGGUUUUGGUACUCGCAAUGGUUUCUCACUAUUUAAUAAUCAGGAAUCUAAUGGUUUUGCCAACAAUUAUUCUCACCUCUCCUCUAAUAAGCAAUCAGGUUAGUGUAUCACUUGUUCUUUUUAAUUCUA
RNAcentral lists this long non-coding RNA (1728 nucleotides) under Solanum tuberosum (potato). Its description in RNAcentral is "long non-coding RNA (STUB_LNC011044)". Lineage: Eukaryota; Viridiplantae; Streptophyta; Magnoliopsida; Solanales; Solanaceae. The record is from RNAcentral.